RNAcentral lists this long non-coding RNA (1597 nucleotides) under Salmo salar (Atlantic salmon). RNAcentral's name for it is "lncRNA (ENSSSAG00000104569.1, ENSSSAG00020068703.1)". The record is from RNAcentral. Lineage: Eukaryota; Metazoa; Chordata; Actinopteri; Salmoniformes; Salmonidae.
GCCUCACUGUGCGUGCAGAUGCACACACACCUGCCUGCUGCCAUUCCUGAGCAAGCUCUGUACUGGUGGUGCCCCGAUCCUGCAGCUGAAUCAACUUUAGGAGACGGUCCUGGCGCUUGCUGGACUUUCUUGGGCGCCCUGAAGCCUUCUUCACAACAAUUUAACCGCUCUCCUUGAAGUUCUUGAUGAUCCGAUAAAUGGUUGAUUUAGGUGCAAUCUUACUGGCAUCAAUAUCCUUGCCUGUGAAGCCCUUUUUGUGCAAAGCAAUGAUGACGGCACGUGUUUCCUUGCAGGUAACCAUGGUUGACAGAGGAAGAACCAUGAUUCCAAGCACCACCCUCCUUUUGAAGCUUCCAGUGUGUUAUUCGAACUCAAUCAGCAUGACAGAGUGAUCUCCAGCCUUGUCCUCGUUAACACUCACACCUGUGUUAACGAGAGAAUCACUGACAUGAUGUCAGCUGGUCCUUUUGUGGCAGGGCUGAAAUGCAGUGGAAAUGUUUUUGGGGGAUUCAGUUCAUUUGCAUGGCAAAGAGGGACUUUGCAAUUAAUUGCAAUUCAUCUGAUCACUCUUCAUAACAUUCUGGAGUAUAUGCAAAUUGCCAUCAUACAAACUGAGGCAGCAGACUUUGUGAAAAUUCAUAUUUGUGUCAUUCUCAAAACAUUUGGCCAUGACUGUACAUGCUGUUUCUUGUCUUGCUGACAAUAGUGUCAUCCAUUGCCUUGAACAGGGAGGAACUCAUGGAAGCCAUGGCUGUCCUUCAGCUUGGCAGUCUUUGGACCCUUCCAGAAGGCAACUAACUUAGCCAUCUCAGCAACACUUAAUAAGGCCACAUUGGCAUUGAUGAAACAACCUUUGAGGACUCCUUCAAUGACAAAUCCCUCAAAUAUCAAGUCAUGGGUUCUACUUUGUGUACGAUAAUGCUGACCUACUGCAUCUGUAGCUACACCCCAGAUUUGGGCCUGGCAAAAACAUGUGCGGCUGUCACGUCCUGACCAGUAAAGGGGUUAUUUGUUAUAUUAGUUUGGUCAGGACGUGGCAGGGGGUAUUUGUUUAGAGUGUUUCGGGGUUUGUUGGGCUAUGUGUUUUGUAGAGGGGUGUUUGAUUAGAGUGUUCCGGGGUUUUGGUUUAUGUUCUAUGUUAGUAUAUAUUCUAUGUUCUAGUCUUUCUAGUUCUAUGUUUAGUUUAUUGAUUUGGCCUUCAAUUGGAGGUAGCUGUUCCUCGUUGCCUCUGAUUGAAGGUCCUAUGUAUAGGGGUGUUUUGGUAAUGGGAAUUGUGGGUAGUUAUUUCCUGUUUAGUGUAUGUAGCACCUGACGGGACUGUUUAGUGGCAUUCGUUCGUUUUUGUAUACCUGUUUCUUUAGUUUUUUUCUUCUUUUAUAAUAAAUAAGAAGAUGAGUAUACAUUUUCCCGCUGCACCUUGGUCUACUUCAUACGACGGCCGUUACAGAACUACCCACCACAAACGGACCAAGCAGCGGGGUAAGGAGCUGGAGAGGAAUUAUGACGCAGCGAGAGUCGCUCUACAGUCCGGAGUCGACGCAGCGAGAGUCGCUCUACAGUCCGGAGUCGACGCAGCGAGAGUCGCUCUACAGUCCGG